GCUAUGGAACCUGGACCUGCCAAGCUCAAAGGAGACUCCAGUCAUCCAGAAGCCCAGGCCCUACCUGGCUUUCUCACCACCUGCUUUGCUCACCUUCAGAAGGGAAAAUGUUCUGUGUUGUACAUGGUGCUAAAACCCUCUACACUCACUUAACCGGUGCUUUUGCUCCAAGGGAAGCAAGGGUAAAGAUGUGACGGAGCUUCAGGAGCUUCUCUCCAAUGAAGUCAUUGAGGCCUGCGAGAAUGGGGCACGAGGCAGUCUUCCUGGAGAGCUGUCUUCAGCGUUGAGCAGAACAUGACAGCUGAGCAAAACUAGAGAAGUUACAGACAAGGCCUGAUACUUAAUAAAGGCUCUCCCC
RNAcentral lists this long non-coding RNA (358 nucleotides) under Homo sapiens (human). Its description in RNAcentral is "HSALNT0088961". The record is from RNAcentral. Lineage: Eukaryota; Metazoa; Chordata; Mammalia; Primates; Hominidae.